AUCCUACGGGGGGCAGCAGUGGGGGAUAUUGCACAAUGGGGGGAACCCUGAUGCAGCGACGCCGCGUGGGUGAAGGAGCGUUUCGGCGCGUAAAGCCCUAUCGGCAGGGAAGAAGGAGGACGGUACCUGACUAAGAAGCCCCGGCUAACUACGUGCCAGCAGCCGCGGUAAUACGUAGGGGGCAAGCGUUAUCCGGAUUUACUGGGGGGAAAGGGGGCGCAGACGGCAGCGCAAGCCAUGAGUGACAGCCCGGGGCCCAACCCCUGGACUGCUCUUGGAACUGUGCGGCUGGCG
This 294-nucleotide ribosomal RNA is filed under the name uncultured bacterium. RNAcentral's name for it is "partial 16S ribosomal RNA". It matches the Rfam family "Bacterial small subunit ribosomal RNA", at positions 335 to 646 of the family's 1533-position model. The record is from RNAcentral.